RNA transcript from Vigna radiata var. radiata (mung bean), 718 nucleotides. RefSeq lists it as uncharacterized. The record is from RefSeq and is a predicted model, not a curated record. The transcript is spliced from 3 exons. Lineage: Eukaryota; Viridiplantae; Streptophyta; Magnoliopsida; Fabales; Fabaceae.
UUAUGGAUCAUUCAUUUUGGUUAAAAUUGAAAUGAAAUGUGUCCGAAUGAGUCUUGUCUCAGUCACCACCGCAAGUUCCUCCGAGCUCUUUCUCUAUCGCACUAUCUAUCAUUCUCACGCUUUCUCCUUCCCUCUGCACCGCCGAUUUCAACCACUUUCCUCCUCCGCCGUACUCCGUCGUCUUCCACCGUACCGCGCUACCUCCCCCGGUUCUCCGCUCCCACCUUCCGAUAACAAUUCAAGCAACCUUAAAGGAGCAGAUGUUGGUGCAUCUUUAUCCAAAAUUCAAGAUAGGAUACAGAUAUUCUUUGCUGUUCUUUUCUGGUUGUCUCUAUUCUUUUGGGCUUCUGCCUGGGAUGGGAGGAAUAGACCAAACAAGGGAUCAAGAUUUAGAUGAUAAAAUAAUUACUUUUGCUAUGCAUUUCAGUUUAGACAAGAACCUUGAAGAUGUUUAAUUUAAUGACUGUCUCUGCUCUUUAUUGGAAGGACAAGUGGUUCCCUUCAUAGUGAAUGAUGUCUUUCCAUUCGGCUUAAACCAUGAUGCAUGAAACCCAGAAAAAAAAGAAUGAAACUUGGGAUUUGUUUCGAGUUGUUUUCUUGUUUUUCCUGAGCAAGCAGGUAUAGUAUGUGGAAAGGAAGGGUCAUUUUAGAUUGAACAUCAUUCAUUUAUGGAUGGAUUAAUCGUCAGUUUGAUGUGUUCAAAUGAAUUGAUAUUUUU